RNAcentral lists this ribosomal RNA (763 nucleotides) under uncultured Streptococcus sp. RNAcentral's name for it is "bacterial SSU rRNA". It matches the Rfam family "Bacterial small subunit ribosomal RNA", at positions 28 to 776 of the family's 1533-position model. The record is from RNAcentral. Lineage: Bacteria; Bacillati; Bacillota; Bacilli; Lactobacillales; Streptococcaceae.
GACGAACGCUGGCGGCGUGCCUAAUACAUGCAAGUAGAACGCUGAAGGAGGAGCUUGCUUCUCCGGAUGAGUUGCGAACGGGUGAGUAACGCGUAGGUAACCUGCCUGGUAGCGGGGGAUAACUAUUGGAAACGAUAGCUAAUACCGCAUAAUAGUAGAUGUUGCAUGACAUUUACUUAAAAGGUGCAAUUGCAUCACUACCAGAUGGACCUGCGUUGUAUUAGCUAGUUGGUGGGGUAACGGCUCACCAAGGCGACGAUACAUAGCCGACCUGAGAGGGUGAUCGGCCACACUGGGACUGAGACACGGCCCAGACUCCUACGGGAGGCAGCAGUAGGGAAUCUUCGGCAAUGGACGGAAGUCUGAUCGAGCAACGCCGCGUGAGUGAAGAAGGUUUUCGGACCGUAAAGCUCUGUUGUAAGAGAAGAACGAGUGUGGGAGUGGAAAGUUCACACUGUGACGGUAUCUUACCAGAAAGGGACGGCUAACUACGUGCCAGCAGCCGCGGUAAUACGUAGGUCCCGAGCGUUGUCCGGAUUUAUUGGGCGUAAAGCGAGCGCAGGCGGUUAGAUAAGUCUGAAGUUAAAGGCUGUGGCUUAACCAUAGUACGCUUUGGAAACUGUUUAACUUGAGUGCAAGAGGGGAGAGUGGAAUUCCAUGUGUAGCGGUGAAAUGCGUAGAUAUAUGGAGGAACACCGGUGGCGAAAGCGGCUCUCUGGCUUGUAACUGACACUGAGGCUCGAAAGCGUGGGGAGCAAACAGG